This is a long non-coding RNA of Homo sapiens (human), 737 nucleotides long. RefSeq lists it as uncharacterized. Lineage: Eukaryota; Metazoa; Chordata; Mammalia; Primates; Hominidae. The transcript is spliced from 3 exons. The record is from RefSeq and is marked validated.
UUUGAGAAGAUGGCGGCCUGAACCGGAGUCCUUCUUCCCCUCCUCCCUCUCCGCUGCUGCAAUGCCCAGGCCCCCCGCAACGUUCCUCGUCUGUAAUGGUGCCAGAGGCUUUAAAUCUUGCAGAAGCCACAUCUGCUGCCUGCAGUCUCCGGUAUGUCAUUAUCAGCAGUGUGAAAAUGGACUCACUCCCACCCUGUCUGGAUCUGGACAAGAGCCCACCACCCCGUUGGCAGUAGUCAGGCAGCUCUGCUUCUAAGAACCUGCAGCUUUUGGAAGAAAGGCACCCUGUGGUUUCAGAAGCCCAAGAGUCCCUGCAGCUCAGCACCCCCAGCCUGGUGCUUGGCAGAUGACUGCCUCCUCACUUAGCAGAGGGAGCAGAAAACUGUGUAUUCUUCAGAACAUCAUGAUAACCUGGCACUCAUGGGUCUAUGGAGAGAAUUCAGGGGGUCUGGGAGCUUGGAUGGAAUAAAUUUGCAUCUUUAUUUUCAGGAAAGUUUUACUGAAGUUUAGCAUUUUCUUUCAUUAUAAAUGGAAUCAGUAUAACCCAAUAGUAUGAGCAGUUACUUCUCCGCAACAUCAAAGUGGCUGCAGAUAUCUCAAAAUAGUAUUUACAUUUAUCAUAACUUAGAAAUUUGGGUGGUAAUUAAACCAGCAACUAUUCUUUGUUUAAUGCAUUAAGAAAGAAGUAUGUAUACUAUCAUAUCUCAAUUAAAAAUAUUUUAAGAACUGGAUUUUAA